Molecule: long non-coding RNA, 540 nt
Filed under: Homo sapiens (human)
Lineage: Eukaryota; Metazoa; Chordata; Mammalia; Primates; Hominidae
Description: HSALNT0036578
Source: RNAcentral
UCUGGUCAAGAUCCGCUGGAAGGUGAAGUUGUUUCCUGAGCCCUUUGAUCUGAAAUGACCUUGCGACCUGGAACCAGCAGACAGCCUGAGGGAGGCAGUGCAUGUUCUGAGCCAGGGCCUCAGGAGGCCUGCAGCUGCCAUUCUGCUUCUGUUGGAACAUGACCUCCUUGAGAACACUCCCAGGCCUGACUGCAGGGUGGGGAGACCACACAGAGCAGAGCCGAGCCACCGGGAUGAGGCCCCUAGAUCACCCAGCUCCCAGCUGACCACAGAUCAUGAGUGAUCCCGUUUCUCCCUAGGUCAAGGGUGAUGUUUUGCUCAGAGAAAACUGAAGUUUGGAUUGUUCCAGUCCUGCAUCACAUCCUGUUUCAGGCUGCCCUAAAACAAAACCAGAAACAACCAUCACCACAAAACACCAUACCUUCAAUAGUCUUCUCAGUGUUCAGAAUAAAGGCUCUGGUUUUCCCUUGGGCUCAAUUUUCAUGAUUGUGUCUCCUUUGUCAAUAUGUUUUUCAUCUUCCUCACUUUCAAACUGCACUU